AACGAACGCUGGCGGCAUGCCUAACACAUGCAAGUCGAACGAGACCUUCGGGUCUCGUGGCGCACGGGUGCGUAACGCGUGGGAACCUGCCCUUAGGUUCGGCAUAACUCCCCGAAAGGGGUGCUACUCCCGGAUAAUGUCUUCGGACCAAAGAUUUAUCGCCUUUGGAUGGGCCCGUGUUGGAUUAGCUAGUUGGUAGGGUAAAAGCCUACCAAGGCGACGAUCCAUAGCUGGUCUGAGAGGAUGAUCAGCCACACUGGGACUGAGACACGGCCCAGACUCCUACGGGAGGCAGCAGAGGGGAAUAUUGGACAAGGGGCGAAAGCUGAUCCAGCAAUGCCGCGUGAGUGAUGAAGGCCUUAGGGUUGUAAAGCUCUUUUACCCGGGAUGAUAAUGACAGUACCGGGAGAAUAAGCUCCGGCUAACUCCGUG
RNAcentral lists this ribosomal RNA (432 nucleotides) under uncultured bacterium. Its description in RNAcentral is "partial 16S ribosomal RNA". It matches the Rfam family "Bacterial small subunit ribosomal RNA", at positions 29 to 507 of the family's 1533-position model. The record is from RNAcentral.